Molecule: non-coding RNA, 201 nt
Organism: Vicia faba (fava bean)
Lineage: Eukaryota; Viridiplantae; Streptophyta; Magnoliopsida; Fabales; Fabaceae
Source: the annotation of a GenBank genome assembly
AUGAUGAAGGAUUUGGGUUCUGAAACGCCAAAAUCGACCCUUCUAAAGCGAGCCCGAGUGUUGAUGGAGGAGAAUGGCGCCGAUAGCAGCGACACAACUCUUCUCCAAUGGUGGCUACGCCUAGUUAUCAAACCUCCUCCAAUUCGUAUUGGUCUUAACAUGAUUCUGAUAUGUUAUUUUUGUGGUCUUGGUGAAUUGUGA